CGCGUAGGCGGCCAGAUAAGUCCGGUGUGAAAGUCACAGGCUCAACCUGUGAAUGCCGCUGGAAACUGUUUGGCUAGAGUCCGGGAGGGGCGAGUGGAAUUCCUGGUGUAGCGGUGAAAUGCGCAGAUAUCAGGAGGAACACCAAUGGCGAAGGCAGCUCGCUGGAACGGUACUGACGCUGAGGCGCGAAAGCGUGGGGAGCAAACA
This 207-nucleotide ribosomal RNA is filed under the name uncultured bacterium. RNAcentral describes it as "partial 16S ribosomal RNA". It matches the Rfam family "Bacterial small subunit ribosomal RNA", at positions 568 to 774 of the family's 1533-position model. The record is from RNAcentral.